This is an RNA transcript of Microtus oregoni (creeping vole), 2221 nucleotides long. It is a transcript of the gene named neuropilin and tolloid like 2, with no coding region annotated. The transcript is spliced from 10 exons. NCBI's taxonomy places the organism in Eukaryota, Metazoa, Chordata, Mammalia, Rodentia, Cricetidae. The record is from RefSeq and is a predicted model, not a curated record.
CCGCGGGAGCGGGCGCCGCCAGCUUUCCUCGGCGCGGCGGGAGGCGGCGGCCGUCGGGGAGCAGGCUCGGCGGGCUGAGGCGCUGCGCCCGCUGCAGGGAGGCGGCGGCGUCCGGCGAUGGGGACCGAGCGGAGGCAUCGCGCCGGGCCGUGACCGCCGCGCCGCCGCCUCAGGCGCUCUCGGAGCGCCGACGCUGAGGACCAUGGCCCUGGAGCAGCUCUGCGCGGUCCUCAAAGUGUUGCUAAUAACAGUACUUGUAGUGGAAGGGAUUGCUGUGGCCCAAAAGACCCAAGAUGGACAGAACAUUGGAAUCAAGCACAUUCCUGCAACCCAGUGUGGCAUUUGGGUUCGAACCAGCAAUGGAGGUCAUUUUGCUUCACCAAAUUAUCCUGACUCAUAUCCACCAAACAAAGAGUGUAUCUAUAUUUUGGAAGCUGCUCCUCGUCAACGGAUAGAGCUGACCUUUGACGAACGCUAUUAUAUAGAGCCAUCAUUUGAAUGUCGCUUUGAUCACUUGGAAGUUCGAGAUGGGCCAUUUGGUUUCUCACCUCUCAUAGAUCGUUACUGUGGCAUGAAAAGCCCUUCGUUAAUUAGGUCAACAGGAAGAUUCAUGUGGAUUAAAUUUAGUUCUGAUGAAGAACUUGAAGGACUAGGAUUUCGAGCAAAAUACUCAUUCAUCCCAGAUCCAGACUUUACUUACCUUGGAGGUAUUUUAAAUCCCAUCCCAGAUUGCCAGUUUGAGCUCUCAGGAGCUGAUGGAAUAAUACGUUCUAGCCAGGUAGAACAAGAAGAAAAAACAAAACCUGGCCAAGCAGUUGAUUGCAUUUGGACAAUUAAAGCCACCCCAAAAGCUAAGAUUUAUUUGAGGUUCUUAGAUUACCAAAUGGAACACUCAAAUGAAUGCAAGAGAAAUUUUGUGGCGGUCUAUGAUGGAAGCAGUGCUAUUGAAAAUCUGAAGGCCAAGUUUUGUAGCACUGUGGCUAAUGAUGUAAUGCUGAAAACAGGAGUGGGAGUGAUACGGAUGUGGGCAGAUGAAGGCAGUCGGCUUAGCAGGUUUAGGAUGCUCUUCACUUCCUUUGUGGAACCUCCCUGUACAAGCAGUACUUUCUUUUGCCAUAGCAACAUGUGCAUCAACAAUUCUUUGGUCUGUAAUGGUGUUCAAAACUGUGCGUACCCUUGGGAUGAGAACCACUGUAAAGAGAAGAAGAAAGCUGGACUAUUUGAACAAAUCACUAAAACUCAUGGAACAAUUAUUGGCAUCACAUCAGGGAUUGUCUUGGUUCUUCUCAUUAUUUCUAUUUUAGUACAAGUGAAACAGCCCCGGAAAAAGGUAAUGGCUUGUAAAACUGCAUUCAAUAAAACUGGGUUCCAGGAAGUAUUUGAUCCUCCUCAUUAUGAACUAUUUUCACUAAGAGAGAAAGAGAUUUCCGCAGACCUGGCAGAUUUGUCAGAAGAACUUGACAACUACCAGAAGAUGCGGCGCUCCUCCACGGCCUCCCGGUGCAUUCAUGACCACCACUGUGGCUCUCAAGCAUCCAGUGUCAAACAAAGCAGGACCAACCUCAGUUCCAUGGAACUUCCCUUCCGAAAUGAUUUUGCACAACCACAGCCAAUGAAAACAUUUAAUAGCACCUUCAAAAAAAGCAGCUACACUUUCAAACAAGCACAUGAGUGCCCUGAACAAGCUCUAGAGGACAGAGUAAUGGAAGAGAUCCCCUGUGAAAUUUAUGUCCGGGGGCGAGAUGAUUCUGCGCAAGCAUCCAUAUCCAUCGACUUCUAAUUGUCAGCUUAAGGCGUUAAUUAUUAAGUAUGUGUAUGCAGCCUACACCAACACCCAUUCUGUCUCAGCAACCAAUCUUGUUCUGUCAGAAUUUGAAAGACCUUCAUAAUCUUUCAUAAUGCUGAUGUUUUAUUAUCUCAGGCAAUCUAUAUAUGUGAAACCAACCAAGGAACUUAAUGUAUUCAGUGGAAAAAGUCAUCAUCCGUUGCUUGGUAUCUUAUCUACAAAAUACCAACAGUUCAAUAGUUGAGGAGCGCGUGGUCAUGUUGAGCCAGGCUCAGCAGCCUGGAGGUGUUGACAUCAGGAUACUGUUCUUGUUCACACAGCCCCAUCAAUUUGAUCCCACAGUAAAUUUAAAAUUCCGCAGAAACUCUCUGCCACACCCAAGCCUUUCUCCCACCAAGCCUACAAAGACUUGCAGCGUGAUGCCUGGGCGGCAAU